RNAcentral lists this ribosomal RNA (498 nucleotides) under uncultured bacterium. RNAcentral describes it as "partial 16S ribosomal RNA". It matches the Rfam family "Bacterial small subunit ribosomal RNA", at positions 28 to 507 of the family's 1533-position model. The record is from RNAcentral.
GACGAACGCUGGCGGCGUGCCUAAUACAUGCAAGUCGAGCGGACGGAUGGGAGCUUGCUCCCAGCCCGUCAGCGGCGGACGGGUGAGUAACACGUGGGCAACCUGCCUGUAAGACUGGGAUAACUCCGGGAAACCGGGGCUAAUACCGGAUAACUCUUUCCCUCACAUGAGGGAAAGCUGAAAGAUGGCAUCUCGCUAUCACUUACAGAUGGGCCCGCGGCGCAUUAGCUAGUUGGUGAGGUAACGGCUCACCAAGGCGACGAUGCGUAGCCGACCUGAGAGGGUGAUCGGCCACACUGGGACUGAGACACGGCCCAGACUCCUACGGGAGGCAGCAGUAGGGAAUCUUCCGCAAUGGACGAAAGUCUGACGGAGCAACGCCGCGUGAGUGAUGAAGGUUUUCGGAUCGUAAAACUCUGUUGUCAGGGAAGAACAAGUACCGGAGUAACUGCCGGUACCUUGACGGCACCUGACCAGAAAGCCACGGCUAACUACGUG